GACGAACGCUGGCGGCGUGCUUAACACAUGCAAGUCGAACGGAAAGGCCCUGCUUUUGUGGGGUGCUCGAGUGGCGAACGGGUGAGUAACACGUGAGUAACCUGCCCUUGACUUUGGGAUAACUUCAGGAAACUGGGGCUAAUACCGGAUAGGAGCUCCUGCUGCAUGGUGGGGGUUGGAAAGUUUCGGCGGUUGGGGAUGGACUCGCGGCUUAUCAGCUUGUUGGUGGGGUAGUGGCUUACCAAGGCUUUGACGGGUAGCCGGCCUGAGAGGGUGACCGGCCACAUUGGGCCUGAGAUACGGCGCAGACUCGUACGGGAGGCAGCGGUGGGGAAUAUUGCACAAUGGGCGGAAGCCUGAUGCAGCAGCGCCGCGUGCGGGAUGACGGCCUUCGGGUUGUAAACCGCUUUCGCCUGUGACGAAGCGUGAGUGACGGUAAUGGGUAAAGAAGCACCGGCUAACUACGUG
Molecule: ribosomal RNA, 468 nt
Filed under: uncultured bacterium
Lineage: Bacteria
Description: partial 16S ribosomal RNA
Rfam family: Bacterial small subunit ribosomal RNA
Source: RNAcentral